Molecule: ribosomal RNA, 335 nt
Filed under: uncultured Iamia sp.
Lineage: Bacteria; Bacillati; Actinomycetota; Acidimicrobiia; Acidimicrobiales; Iamiaceae
Description: bacterial SSU rRNA
Rfam family: Bacterial small subunit ribosomal RNA
Source: RNAcentral
CUCGUAGGCGGCUUAGUAAGUCGGCGGUGAAAUACCGAGGCUCAACCUCGGCACUGCCGUCGAUACUGCUAUGGCUAGAGUUUGGUAGAGGAGAACGGAAUUCCCGGUGUAGCGGUGGAAUGCGCAGAUAUCGGGAGGAACACCCGUAGCGAAGGCGGUUCUCUGGGCCAAUACUGACGCUGAGGAGCGAAAGCGUGGGGAGCAAACAGGAUUAGAUACCCUGGUAGUCCACGCUGUAAACGUUGGGCACUAGGUGUGGCGACCCGAUCAACGGUUGCCGUGCCGAAGCUAACGCAUUAAGUGCCCCGCCUGGGGAGUACGGCCGCAAGGCUAAA